CCUCAUUUAAGGGCUGACUGCCACUGGGGAAGGAGCUCUUUCUGGAGUUCUUUUUCUGGUGGUGCUUUCCCCCUGCAAACUUGGAAUCUUUUGAUACAGGACAACAGUCAUUUUUGAAGUACUGAAAGAUUUCUGGACUUCACUAUUUGGGGUUCUGAUUGAUGGCAAGUUGAUGAGACAGCAGUGUGCCUGGUAGCCGAAAGGGCCAACAGUACCUGGGGUGACCCAGACCCAACACUGCCAGCCAGG
This is a non-coding RNA of Meleagris gallopavo (turkey), 249 nucleotides long. The record is from RefSeq and is a predicted model, not a curated record. NCBI's taxonomy places the organism in Eukaryota, Metazoa, Chordata, Aves, Galliformes, Phasianidae.